CAUGCAAGUAGGACGCACAGUUUAUACCGUAGCUUGCUACACCAUAGACUGUGAGUUGCGAACGGGUGAGUAACGCGUAGGUAACCUGCCUAUUAGAGGGGGAUAACUAUUGGAAACGAUAGCUAAUACCGCAUAACAGUAUGUAACACAUGUUAGAUGCUUGAAAGAUGCAAUUGCAUCGCUAGUAGAUGGACCUGCGUUGUAUUAGCUAGUAGGUAGGGUAAAGGCCUACCUAGGCAACGAUACAUAGCCGACCUGAGAGGGUGAUCGGCCACACUGGGACUGAGACACGGCCCAGACUCCUACGGGAGGCAGCAGUAGGGAAUCUUCGGCAAUGGGGGGAACCCUGACCGAGCAACGCCGCGUGAGUGAAGAAGGUUUUCGGAUCGUAAAGCUCUGUUGUUAAGGAAGAACGAGUGUGAGAAUGGAAAGUUCAUACUGUGACGGUACUUAACCAGAAAGGGACGGCUAACUACGUGCCAGCAGCCGCGGUAAUACGUAGGUCCCGAGCGUUGUCCGGAUUUAUUGGGCGUAAAGCGAGCGCAGGCGGUUAGAAAAGUCUGAAGUGAAAGGCAGUGGCUCAACCAUUGUAGGCUUUGGAAACUGUUUAACUUGAGUGCAGAAGGGGAGAGUGGAAUUCCAUGUGUAGCGGUGAAAUGCGUAGAUAUAUGGAGGAACACCGGUGGCGAAAGCGGCUCUCUGGUCUGUAACUGACGCUGAGGCUCGAAAGCGUGGGGAGCGAACAGGAUUAGAUACCCUGGUAGUCCACGCCGUAAACGAUGAGUACUAGGUGUUAGGUCCUUUCCGGGACUUAGUGCCGUAGCUAACG
RNAcentral lists this ribosomal RNA (829 nucleotides) under uncultured Streptococcaceae bacterium. RNAcentral describes it as "bacterial SSU rRNA". It matches the Rfam family "Bacterial small subunit ribosomal RNA", at positions 54 to 857 of the family's 1533-position model. Lineage: Bacteria; Bacillati; Bacillota; Bacilli; Lactobacillales; Streptococcaceae. The record is from RNAcentral.